GGGAAAGUGGCUCAGUGGUAGAGUGCUUGCCUUGCAUGCAUGAAGCCCUGGGUUCAAUUCCUCAGCACCA
Molecule: non-coding RNA, 70 nt
Organism: Dipodomys ordii (Ord's kangaroo rat)
Lineage: Eukaryota; Metazoa; Chordata; Mammalia; Rodentia; Heteromyidae
Source: Rfam